Molecule: long non-coding RNA, 400 nt
Organism: Helianthus annuus (common sunflower)
Lineage: Eukaryota; Viridiplantae; Streptophyta; Magnoliopsida; Asterales; Asteraceae
Exons: 3
Source: RefSeq, a predicted model, not a curated record
UUGCAGAAUUGCAAUGGAAAGAAAGUUGGAAAAGAAAAUGAAAAAAGUUAUAUUGGUAUUAAAGUCGAGAGACGAAGGGUCAUCAUUGUAAGACGCAGUCACAACAGAAAAGUAUAUGCAUGGUAAACAAAAAGAUGUGAAAAAAGUUGUAAAAAAGGACAUGGAGGUGAGGAAUAAUAAACGGAAACAGGUGGAAACACCAAACAAAGGUGUUGGUGAGGUGCACAUGGUAAAGAACAGAAGGUUAUCAACAUCUAAAGUUGGUGAUAAAGAUGACAAUGUUGUUGAUGGUUAAACAUAAAAAAUUGGAAUGGGCAACGAGUGAUAAUUUCAACGAUUGCGGUGUGUUCGCUAUGCGACACAUGGAGAUGUACAAAUGGAGCGAUGUCAAGUUUGAAAG